GCAAGUCGAGCGAAUGGAUUGAGAGCUUGCUCUCAAGAAGUUAGCGGCGGACGGGUGAGUAACACGUGGGUAACCUGCCCAUAAGACUGGGAUAACUCCGGGAAACCGGGGCUAAUACCGGAUAACAUUUUGAACUGCAUGGUUCGAAAUUGAAAGGCGGCUUCGGCUGUCACUUAUGGAUGGACCCGCGUCGCAUUAGCUAGUUGGUGAGGUAACGGCUCACCAAGGCAACGAUGCGUAGCCGACCUGAGAGGGUGAUC
Molecule: ribosomal RNA, 260 nt
Filed under: uncultured bacterium
Lineage: Bacteria
Description: partial 16S ribosomal RNA
Rfam family: Bacterial small subunit ribosomal RNA
Source: RNAcentral